RNAcentral lists this ribosomal RNA (377 nucleotides) under uncultured bacterium. Its description in RNAcentral is "bacterial SSU rRNA". It matches the Rfam family "Bacterial small subunit ribosomal RNA", at positions 523 to 898 of the family's 1533-position model. The record is from RNAcentral.
AUACGUAAGGGGCGAGCGUUGUUCGGAUUCACUGGGCGUAAAGGGUGCCUAGGCGGCAUGUUAAGUCGGAAGUGAAAUCCCCCGGUCCAACUGGGGAACUGCUUUCGAAACUGGCGUGCUUGAGUUCGGGAGAGGAGAGCGGAAUUCUCGGUGUAGCGGUGGAAUGCGUAGAUAUCGAGAAGAACACUCGUGGCGAAGGCGGCUCUCUGGAACGAUACUGACGCUGAAGCACGAAAGCCAGGGGAGCAAACGGGAUUAGAUACCCCGGUAGUCCUGGCCCUAAACGAUGUACACUUGGUGUAGGAGGUAUCGACCCCUCCUGUGCCGAAGCUAACGCAUUAAGUGUACCGCCUGGGGAGUACAGUCGCAAGGCUGAA